UCUCCUGUAGCUCAGUGGUAGAGCGUCCGAUCGGUGUGCGGAAGGUCAUAGGUUCGAUUACUGUUGAAAAAA
Molecule: non-coding RNA, 72 nt
Organism: Desmophyllum pertusum
Lineage: Eukaryota; Metazoa; Cnidaria; Anthozoa; Scleractinia; Caryophylliidae
Source: the annotation of a GenBank genome assembly